CCUCCCCCUCCCCCUCUCAGGCUCCAGUCUUGCAGAUUGCGGGCUGACUUAACUCCUUGCACUCCAGCUCGGUGGAGUCUGAGGUGGUGACGCUGCGAAGGAAAGAAGGAGGGAAGGAGGGACUCCAGAUCCCACUCCCACCCACAAUUUAACGCCUUGUGGCCCGGAACGCCAUCCCGGAACUUGUGCUGGUCAGACCCUGACCGGCUGUCUGGUACAGGAGGAGCCACACGCAAAGCCGCGCACCUGGAACUGUGAAAUCCAGUCCACUUUUUGCCCAAUCUUAACCGUCUACCCUCCCCGCUCCCAUCUUCUAUGUCGGUCCUCCACUCUCUGGCCACCCUCCCCGCCUUCACCCACUAGUUGGGGCCGGGGGCCCCUGGCGGAUAGAAAGCUGCUGGGAUCCCGGAAGUCUGGGUUUGGAAGCUACCUGAGCUUUCUCCUCUAUAUCCCUCCUCUAAGGCCCCCUCUCAGGUGACCACAGCCCUUGCCUCUUUCACUGACAGAGGGGCUUGCACCCCAACUGAAUGUUUACCUUCCCCAGCUCCAGCUAGCACAAGGAACUGAGUUCCUGGAAAAUCUGACUUCACCUCUACCUAGACCCCCUCCUCUGUUAGAUUUGUCCCCCAAGUUCUGCUACGAAUGAUUCUGCCCGAGAGGUACUGCAGACUAGGCAGGAAGGAGUUAAUGAAGCUCCUGGGCUCAACUUGACAGCCAGGUGAGGCACCGCCCUUCUUGGCCUCAGGUGCGAGUGGGUGGGGAAGACGGGGGACACUGACCUUAAGGGCUGCUUUCCUUUUGCCCCCUGGUGGCUAGAUCAGGCUUAGCAACCGUUGGCAAAAGUCUGUUCACGUGGAGGUUCGCGGAAGGACGACUUUGUGAACUGCUAGAAGCUAAAGUCCUCCUCUUCCAAGGGAGAGAGAUCCUUCUAGGGGGUGCGGAGAGGGAGCUCCCACUAUCCCUGCCUAUCGUGCUGUCCCCACUCAGAAGGCUGCCAGACGCUUCCAUAUCCUUAUCCUAGGAACUCUACUUACGGGACCCAAGUAUUCGAGACACCUGAAGGAGGGCAUGGAAUAAAACAGAAGACACCAAGUCCUGACCUCUCAGGAUCUCCAUAUAAUAGAGGGGGUUAGAGGAGGAAGCUGCCCCCCCCCAACACACACACACCUUCUUUCCUUUUUUGCCCCAGGCCGUUUCAGAGCUCUUACUCCCUCUAAAUCCCAGCAUCAGAUACAACCCUCAGGCCAGGUCCAAAGCUCCUACCAGCUCCUACCUUGUUCCUUAAGUUUCCCUCCUAAGUGAAGCCAUCUUCUGGAUCUCGCCCCAUAAAAAGACUCUCCUUGCUGGAGCCUAGGAGCUCACAGCCACUUCCUCUUAUUCCCAGCAUGGCUGCAUCUCUUCCCAUCUAAAAGCCCUCUCAGGUUAGCAAAGCCAAGGAUUUGAAGGGUUCCCUUUCUCCUCCCACUCCCAUCUUCAAUUGCCUCACUUCUCAUUUUCUUUCUUUCUUUUUUUUUUGGUAUUGGGGAUUGAACUCAGGCACUUGGCCACUGAACCACAUCCCCAGCCCUAUUUUGUAUUUUAUUUAGAGACAGGGUCUCACUGAGUUGCUUAUACCUCACUUUUCCUGACACUGGCUUUGAACUUCCAAUCCUCCUGCCUCAGCCUCCCAAGAUGCUGGGAUUACAGGCACACCUGGCUUCUCUUCUCAUUUUCUAUUGUCUUCUAAGAUUUACGGUACCUGCAUAGGCAGUUCACCCAAUGGGAGACAAUUCUGUCAUUUUGUACAUUGUGAUAUUUAACUUAUUUAUUUGCCUUUUCUUCCAGGAACUCCUUUCUGAUGGAGGACUCUGCCUACUUAUUCAUUCAACAAAUACCUAUUGAGAUCUACUAUGUGCCAGUCACUGGACUAGAACUAGACAUAUGUUAGUGACAAAACAGAUAAGGUCCUUACUCUUAUACAGCUGACAGCCUAGCUGGGGACAGACAGGUAAAGAGAGGAUUUCAAUUCAGUGUAACUAGGGCUUAGGGAGCACUUAGGAAAGACCUUACCCGUGUUUUGGGUAACUGCAAUAUGGAUCACCAUCUGAACUGAGACUUCAUACAAGCCUCAGGUGUGGUUCAAUCCAGGCAGACAGAACAUAUCUUACUGGAGUUCCAAAGAUAGACAGGAUUGCAGCAAGAGGUCUAGACCAGAUGUCAUAAGAGAUCACUAAAGGCUUAAUUUCCAUAAAAUCCCUUGGUAAUAAAUUCUCCAAGUCCCCAAAGAAAGAAGAUGGGCCUCAGAGUCCAGAGUAUGUGAUAUUGGCCUAGUCAGUCCCACUCUCUGGGCCUUACUUCAUUCUUCUUGUUCUUUUUUAACCUACCUCUCAGGCAAGAUCUUGGUUUUCUUCAAAUAUUAAAAAGAAAGAAAGAUGGGUUGAAUUUAGCUCCAAGAUCUUUAUUCUGAAGACCGCAAUUAGAUAGCAGGCUUGUUGAGAGGGAUAAACACUUAGCUUUGACCAGCAUGGGGAGGGGGCAGAGUUCUUAAACCCAGAAGCAGGUGCUUGCCUAGUGUGUGCAGGGUCCUGGGUUUGAUCCCCAGCACCACAAAAUAAAUAAGCAUAAAACUAGGAGAAGUUAUCAGAGGCAGGAUCCUCAAAAGAAGUCCAAACCAGUCAAGCCUACUCUUUGCCUGCUGCCCAUUGGUCUGGAAGUUCUAAGUCCUGGGAACAUAAUUCUUGCCAUUUAAUUCUUGUGUUAAAGGCAAGAGUCUUUCUGAGAUACUUCUGGGAGCAGAGUGCUUUGGGGGGCAGUGCUUACAUUACUUUUCUCUUAUAUGUAGCACUACAGAACUGAUAUUUUUAAGAGGUGACAGGCUUACACACAGGUGAAAGUCUUACACACUGGUGAAAGGACUUGCCUGAGAUCACGUGGUGGAUGAGUGAUAGCUGGAAGUCUAAUUCCACAUCCAGACUCUUUCCACGACACCACCAUAGCACUUGUUUCCAACUUUCCAUUGGACUUGUUCCUGUGUCUGGCUCAUUUCCCUGUGAGGCCAUAAGAUCUGGGAAGGCAGGCUUGGCCUCCUUAUCUGGACCCCCCAGAGCCUGGACGUGGUGCUCAGAACUGCUAGUCUCCCAGGUACCCCUUUUUUCUCCAAGCCUAACCCUAUUGACAUGCAUAUAGACCCCUGGGUCAUUUUAAAAAGGCAUCCCUGGAUUAUGGACAAAGCCCUGGGCCAGGCAUAGUCAAAGUACCAGUCAGACCUAAAACCUGGUCUGUGACUUGAAGUAAACUGAUUAACACUGAUUAACUUCCCUAGCCUUCAAGUUCUGUUGAGACCCAUAACCUAACUCCUAGGCCUUUUGUAACUUGAAAUCCAAGCUUGGGAAGUGUUUUUAAAAAACAUAGCUCAGAGGGGCUGGGGAUGUGGCUCAAGCGGUAGCACGCUCGCCUAGCAUGUGUGCAGCCCGGGUUCGAUCCUCAGCACCACAUACAAAUAAAGAUGUUGUGUCCGCCAAAAACUA
This 3506-nucleotide long non-coding RNA is filed under the name Marmota monax (woodchuck). The record is from RNAcentral. Lineage: Eukaryota; Metazoa; Chordata; Mammalia; Rodentia; Sciuridae.